Molecule: ribosomal RNA, 393 nt
Filed under: uncultured bacterium
Lineage: Bacteria
Description: partial 16S ribosomal RNA
Rfam family: Bacterial small subunit ribosomal RNA
Source: RNAcentral
AUACGGAGGAUACAAGCGUUAUCCGGAUUUAUUGGGUUUAAAGGGUGCGCAGGCGGACCGCUAAGUCAGGGGUGAAAAGUUCGUGCUUAACAUGAAUCGUGCCUUUGAUACUGGCGGACUAGAGUGCGAUAGGCGUGGCAGGAAUGUGGUGUGUAGCGGUGCAAUUCUUAGAUAUGCCACAGAAAACCGAUCUAGAAGCCAGGUCACGAGUUCGCAACUGACGAUCAUGCUCGAAAGCGUGGGGAUCAAACAGGAUUAGAUACCCUGGUAGUCCACGCCGUAAACGAUGAUCACUCGUUGCCGGGGGGCGACCUUCGGUGGCCAAGCGAAAGCGAUAAGUGAUCCACCUGGGGAGUACGAUCGCAAGGUUGAAACUCAAAGGAAUUGACGGGG